RNAcentral lists this transfer RNA (136 nucleotides) under Oculatella sp. LEGE 06141. RNAcentral describes it as "tRNA-OTHER". Lineage: Bacteria; Bacillati; Cyanobacteriota; Cyanophyceae; Oculatellales; Oculatellaceae. The record is from RNAcentral.
GGGGAGAAAUGGGGGAAUUUGUUUUUUGGCAAUUUUCACAAGGCUUCUGCAUCAAGCCUUAGAAGAAUUGUUGAGUAGAUUGCUAAUCUGUUGAUGCCUUUAGGGGUAUCCGAGGGUUCGAAUCCCUCCCUCUCCG